AGUGAACGCUGGCGGUAGGCCUAACACAUGCUAGUCGAACGGCAGCACAGUAAGAGCUUGCUCUUACGGGUGGCGAGUUGCGGACGGGUGCGGAAUACAUCGGAAUCUACUUUUUCGUGGGGGAUAACGUAGGGAAACUUACGCUAAUACCGCAUACGACCUACGGGUGAAAGCAGGGGAUCUUCGGACCUUUCGAGAUUGAAUGAGCCGAUGUCGGAUUAGCUAGUUGGCUGGGUAAAGGCACACUAAGGCGACGAUCCGUAGCGGGUCUGAGCGGAUGAACAGCAAGAAGGGAAGUGAGACACGGUCCAAACUCAUAAGGGAGGAAGCAGUGGAGAAUAUUGGCAAAGGGGGGAAAGCCUGAUCCAGCAAUACCGGAUGGGUGAAGAACACCUUCGGGUUGUAAAGCCCUUUUGUUGGGAGAGAAAAGAAGCAGGUUAAUACCCCGCGGUUCUGACGGUACCCAAAGAAUAAGCACCGGCUAACUUCGUG
This 492-nucleotide ribosomal RNA is filed under the name uncultured bacterium. RNAcentral's name for it is "partial 16S ribosomal RNA". It matches the Rfam family "Bacterial small subunit ribosomal RNA", at positions 29 to 507 of the family's 1533-position model. The record is from RNAcentral.